UCUGGGUGUGGCGCAGCUUGGCUAGCGUGCUUGUCUGGGGGGCAAGAGGUCGGAGGUUCAAAUCCUCUCACCCAGAU
Molecule: transfer RNA, 77 nt
Filed under: Candidatus Anoxychlamydiales bacterium
Lineage: Bacteria; Pseudomonadati; Chlamydiota; Chlamydiia; Candidatus Anoxychlamydiales
Description: tRNA-Pro
Rfam family: tRNA
About the family: Transfer RNA (tRNA) molecules are approximately 80 nucleotides in length. Their secondary structure includes four short double-helical elements and three loops (D, anti-codon, and T loops).
Source: RNAcentral